UACGUAGGUGGCAAGCGUUAUCCGGAUUUAUUGGGCGUAAAGGGAACGCAGGCGGUCUUUUAAGUCUGAUGUGAAAGCCUUCGGCCUAACCGGAGUAGUGCAUUGGGAACUGGGAGACUUGAGUGCAGAAGAGGAGAGUGGAACUCCAUGUGUAGCGGUGAAAUGCGUAGAUAUAUGGAAGAACACCAGUGGCGAAAGCGGCUCUCUGGUCUGUAACUGACGCUGAGGUUCGAAAGCGUGGGUAGCAAACAGG
This 253-nucleotide ribosomal RNA is filed under the name uncultured bacterium. Its description in RNAcentral is "partial 16S ribosomal RNA". It matches the Rfam family "Bacterial small subunit ribosomal RNA", at positions 524 to 776 of the family's 1533-position model. The record is from RNAcentral.